UACGUAGGGUGCAAGCGUUGUCCGGAAUUAUUGGGCGUAAAGGGCGCGUAGGCGGUUCGUACAGUCAGACGUGAAAUUCCUGGGCUCAACCUGGGGGCUGCGUUUGAUACGUGCGGACUUGAGUGCGGAAGAGGGUCGUGGAAUUCCCAGUGUAGAGGUGAAAUGCGCAGAUAUUGGGAAGAACACCAGUGGCGAAGGCGGUUCUCUGGGACGGUACUGACGCUGAGACGCGAAAGCGUGGG
Molecule: ribosomal RNA, 242 nt
Filed under: uncultured bacterium
Lineage: Bacteria
Description: partial 16S ribosomal RNA
Rfam family: Bacterial small subunit ribosomal RNA
Source: RNAcentral